Prolemur simus (greater bamboo lemur) is the source of this 116-nucleotide small nuclear RNA. Its record names the gene U5. It matches the Rfam family "U5 spliceosomal RNA". Rfam says of the family: U5 RNA is a component of both types of known spliceosome. The precise function of this molecule is unknown, though it is known that the 5' loop is required for splice site selection and p220 binding, and that both the 3' stem-loop and the Sm site are important for Sm protein binding and cap methylation. The record is from Ensembl. Lineage: Eukaryota; Metazoa; Chordata; Mammalia; Primates; Lemuridae.
AUACCCUGGUUGCUUUUUCGAUCGAAUAAAUCUUUUGCCUUUUACUAAAGAUUUCUAUGGAGAGGAACCACUCUGAGUUUUUGAUCAAUUUUUUGAGGCCUUGCUUUGGCAAGGCU